GAUGAACGCUGGCGGCGUGCCUAAUACAUGCAAGUCGAGCGAACAGACGAGGAGCUUGCUCCUUUGACGUUAGCGGCGGACGGGUGAGUAACACGUGGGUAACCUACCUAUAAGACUGGGAUAACUUCGGGAAACCGGAGCUAAUACCGGAUAAUAUUUCGAACCGCAUGGUUCGAUAGUGAAAGAUGGCUUUGCUAUCACUUAUAGAUGGACCUGCGCCGUAUUAGCUAGUUGGUAAGGUAACGGCUUACCAAGGCAACGAUACGUAGCCGACCUGAGAGGGGGAUGGGCCCACUGGGACCUGAACACGGGCCCAGGUCCCCAGGGGGGGCAACAAGGGGGAAUCUUCCCAAAGGGGCGAAAGCCUGCCGGAGCAACCCCGGGUGAGUGAAGAAGGUUUUCGGAUCGUAAAACUCUUUUAUGAGGGAAAAAAAAACGUGAAAGUAACUGUGCACGUCUUGACGGUACCUAAAAAAAAAGCCACGGCUAACUACGG
Molecule: ribosomal RNA, 496 nt
Filed under: uncultured bacterium
Lineage: Bacteria
Description: partial 16S ribosomal RNA
Rfam family: Bacterial small subunit ribosomal RNA
Source: RNAcentral